AUUGAACGCUGGCGGCAGGCCUAACACAUGCAAGUCGAGCGGAUGAAGGGAGCUUGCUCCUGGAUUCAGCGGCGGACGGGUGAGUAAUGCCUAGGAAUCUGCCUGGUAGUGGGGGAUAACAUCCGGAAACGGGCGCUAAUACCGCAUACGUCCUGAGGGAGAAAGUGGGGGAUCUUCGGACCUCACGCUAUCAGAUGAGCCUAGGUCGGAUUAGCUAGUUGGUGGGGUAAAGGCCUACCAAGGCGACGAUCCGUAACUGGUCUGAGAGGAUGAUCAGUCACACUGGAACUGAGACACGGUCCAGACUCCUACGGGAGGCAGCAGUGGGGAAUAUUGGACAAUGGGCGAAAGCCUGAUCCAGCCAUGCCGCGUGUGUGAAGAAGGUCUUCGGAUUGUAAAGCACUUUAAGUUGGGAGGAAGGGCAGUAAGUUAAUACCUUGCUGUCUUGACGUUACCAACAGAAUAAGCACCGGCUAACUUCGUG
This 484-nucleotide ribosomal RNA is filed under the name uncultured bacterium. RNAcentral describes it as "partial 16S ribosomal RNA". It matches the Rfam family "Bacterial small subunit ribosomal RNA", at positions 30 to 507 of the family's 1533-position model. The record is from RNAcentral.